AGAGUUUGAUCCUGGCUCAGGAUGAACGCUAGCUACAGGCUUAGCACAUGCAAGUCGAGGGGAAACGACAUCGAAAGCUUGCUUUUGAUGGGCGUCGACCGGCGCACGGGUGAGUAACGCGUAUCCAACCUGCCCACCACUUGGGGAUAACCUUGCGAAAGUAAGACUAAUACCCAAUGACGUCUCUAGAAGACAUCUGAAAGAGAUUAAAGAUUUAUCGGUGAUGGAUGGGGAUGCGUCUGAUUAGCUUGUUGGCGGGGUAACGGCCACAAGGCGACGAUCAGUAGGGGUUCUGAGAGGAAGGUCCCCCANAUUGGAACUGGGACACGGUCCAAACUCCUACGGGAAGCA
This 351-nucleotide ribosomal RNA is filed under the name uncultured bacterium. Its description in RNAcentral is "bacterial SSU rRNA". It matches the Rfam family "Bacterial small subunit ribosomal RNA", at positions 8 to 350 of the family's 1533-position model. The record is from RNAcentral.